Molecule: long non-coding RNA, 2415 nt
Organism: Numida meleagris (helmeted guineafowl)
Lineage: Eukaryota; Metazoa; Chordata; Aves; Galliformes; Numididae
Source: Ensembl
GUUUACUAAACGGCUCAAUAUUUGUCACAAUUCUUGCCAGCUCCCUUUUGCUCUGUUUAUCCUGUACUGGUUCCUGGCUCAGUUUGGGGCUGAGGACACAACCCUGGAUGUGGGACCUCUGAGUGUCCAUUGUGGACUCAGAGAGGGUGGAUAAAUGAUGCUCUCAUCAACUGCUUCUCCUUUGCUACCUUCUCACUUCGUUCCCCAUGUCUGCACCGAGCUCCUUUCAGUAGGAAGAGAGUUGGGAAAUGAUGCAAUCCCUGUCCUGUCCUGUCCGCCCAUCCAAAAAUGUUGAGUGUAUCUAUGGCAAAAUGAUGCUGGUUUCAAUGAGCUAAAGUGAAAAGGAUAGAUGCUGGUUCGUUAUCUCUAAUUGCCUCACUUUGCAGCCCAGUCCUAGGCUAUCCAAUUGAGUAGACAGUACUUCUCUGUUUGGGGCUCUUUGGUCUUACAGUAAUCUUCUCGGAAUAGAACUUCUACGAUUCUUUCUCUGAAAUAAUAAGGUUUAAGGCCACAUCUGUGAAGAUAUAGCAGAUAGCUCAUUUCAACAGGAAUUGUACGUGAAGGGCCUUUAAAAAUCUCUUCCUGAAGGUCUGCUAAUGAAACAGCCCUGAGAUCUCAAGGGCCAGGGAGAGAAACAGGUGAUAAACAUAACACAGCUGAUAACAUUGAGGAUUCAAAGUGAUCCUCAAUUAGUGGGGCACCAGGUGUUCCAAAGGAGCUACAUAAAAGACGAUGUGGAAAGAGAAGGAGAGGGAGGGUGUUGGAGAGUGUGCUUCUGGUUUGCUGAGGCUGGAGAUCUGCUUUGGAGCAGGAGCUUGCCUCUCCAGCGAGGACUCACCACUUGGCUUGGCACUAUGGAAGCACUCUCAGCAGGUUCCCAUGGACACCAUCCCUCCGUCCCAUGCAGUGUUGCACCCAAACAGUCACAAGCAGCCAGCGCAGACACGGGUGAUGCCCACCCAGCCUGCCAGAGCCCUCCUUGUGGCUGGAACAAACGUGACCUUGAUCCGUGGGUUUGGUUCCAAGUCCAACACCCUCCGCCAACACGUGGCUGUCGUUAAACAGAAUGGUUACAGCUCCCGGGAAGGAUGGGGCUGUGUGGCUCAGCUCCUCCCCAGCCACGUGGUGGUGACAUUUGUCAGCUCGGUGUCCCUCAGGGCAGAGCUGCGGCAUUCCCCGUCGCGGUGCCACCACGGGCUGUGCUCCUCAGAGCCGUUGGCCUGUGCCCUGUAGGACAGUGCUGACAUGUCAAGCUCAAUAAGUUCAAAGGCUCCUCGUGUUUAAUAACUGCGGAGUGACCUUGCAAGCCACUGUGAGGAGGGCAGGGAGUUGUUCCAGCCUGACAAAGCAGGUUUUCUGGGCUGGCCAGCUGAAGCAGUGUGUUUCUCCCCAGAGAAGCCUCGUUUGACCUCAGUUCUGUCUCCUUGAGUUAAGUCAGCCUGGGCAACGUCCCCCACAGCCCCUCUCCCUGUCUCCGUCCUGCUGCUUGCAUCAUCCCUCUUGCAGCUGUUGGUGGUGACGGCCCUGCUUGCUGCUCCCCUCCGGCCAGGAGGUGCUCCAGGCUACGCUGGGGGAGAUGCUCCUAUUUUCAGAGGUGUCUGUAACCCUCUCAGGGCAACAGCUUUCUUCCUGUAAGAGCUGUGAGGUCUGGAGCUUUGAAAAUGCUUUUUUUUUCCUCUUCCAAAACGCUCCCUGAGCAAGCUGAAUGCACAAGGAAGAAUGUAGGUGUUCAAGAUGACCUGACGUUACUCCAUCUUCUCCUUUGUAAUUCUGUUUGCAGAGAUGCAUUUGAAAAUGUAACUGCUGCCACAAUAGAUUAAAUUAUGUUUCCUAUUCUUUCUGUUAAUGGGGUGGUGUGAAAAAGCAGUGCCUCCGCUGACAGUGCUAAAUGGAAGAAAAGAAGACAAAUAUCCAAGUACGUUCUUCUUAAUUCGUAGCCUUCACCUCUGGCUGCUUCUUGCUAAUGCAUCGAGGUCCAGGAACUGUUUGGGAGAUCUGGGAUGCUGAACCCAUCCUUCUGGUCCAGUUCCAGAGGCAGCAACAGGAGUUACAUGGAACAGCCUUUAGUUGGGAAAUGGCAGCUUAUCGUCGUGCUUCAGGUGCAUCUCUACCACCCUGUGCUUCCUUCACCAUCAACUUUCAUAAUCAGCCAAGGAGAUUUCUGGCUCGGAGUAGUUAUUUAAUUGAGUGUCUCUGAAAUCUUCAGAGGGGACCAUCAGAAGUGAAAAAAAAAAUUGAUGCUGUAGAGUCUUGAGUAAGCUCCAUCUGUCAUAUCUGGCCUUUUACUGUUUUAAUACCACUGAUGAUUCCAGGCAAAUGCUAUUGAAUUUCUGUGGUCUAAUUAGCCAACGACUUCAAAUCCGUCUCAUUGUAAAAAGCAAUAAACAGGUUCCACCCACUUAGCUAUUGCUAAGU